CAAUAAUCACUUGAACCUACAUCUUGUAAGAAUUUCUCCUAACUAGCGGUGAAAUUGUACAUGACAACCAACUGAAUAUUACUUUUUACCCCUCCCAUUCUGACUGCGUUGCAACUCCUAACUCCGUGAGAGUUCCUUCCAGUGUAAUAAUAGUUUUACAUGGUUUUGGUACUAUUUCAUUGCUAACAUCAGCUAUCAGGUUGCCAUACAUAUGCAAUUUAAUGUUAGUAAAGUAUCAGUGCUGUUAUUAUUCUGUAUAUUGUAUGAGAUUAAUAGUGUAAGGCAAUGUUUACAGUGUAGGAGAGAAGCAACAGAGAUUUGUGUGUUUAAUUUCUCUGAGCAGUAUUAACAAUGUCAAUGAAACUGAAAUUAGCUCUUAGCAUCUCCAUCUUUAAACAUGCAGCUGUUCUAGCUGUAUCUAGUCUGUGUUAAGACUGCAUGACGUGAGUUGUCUAACAGGGAAAUCACGACACAUAUGAUU
Molecule: long non-coding RNA, 481 nt
Organism: Etheostoma cragini (Arkansas darter)
Lineage: Eukaryota; Metazoa; Chordata; Actinopteri; Perciformes; Percidae
Exons: 3
Source: RefSeq, a predicted model, not a curated record